AGCCGGCAGCCUGGGGGCCACUGUCCUCGCCCUCCACCGCACGUUCUGGAAAAAUGCUUUUUCUUCUGAACAAAACACACUUGAAGCCCGGGAAAAAAAGCACCUCCAGGAAACUUGGUGGAAUGACAGCAAAAAAUAAAGAAAUAAAUAAGGUCACCACCCUUACUGCUCUUGCUGAGAAUCCAGCGUGGGGCAGCUCUAUUUUUUUUCCUUGAAAAGUCAGCUUUUGGGUUUAUUUUUUUGUUGUUGUUUUUUGGGGGUUUUUUGUGCUUUUCUGUCUUGUUUUGUUUUUGCCGUACGUCUAGGUCUGGAAAAAAAACAACAAACGACUGUGGACUUCUGUAGCAACUGAACCAACAAAGCCCAUUUUGCCUAGAGAGGAGGCAUAUUUUGAUAAGCUUUCUGAAUCAUGCCAUCUCUGAGAUUUUUUUGACAUUAAAAAAAAAAAAAAAAAAAAAAAAAACAAGGCUACACGUUAUUCAGUAGCAUUUGUACAGAGAACAAUACCCGCUUUCAUUGUGAAUAGGACCUUCCCCGGUUCCCACCCGCCCCCAGCAGCGCGCACCACGCUGGGCCGCGGCAGGUGCAGGUUUGGCUCCUCCGUCCUGCUCGUCUGUUCCGGCGUCGAGGACCGGCCGAGGCGGAGCGGAGCCCGAGCGCCCCGGGGCACGGACGCGGACAGACGGGCGGACAGACGGGCGGCUGACCGCGCCGCCCACCGGUGAGGCCGGCAGGCCACCUGGUAUUGCCUGGCAAACAGGACGACCAGAACAGGCAGAGGUAUCCAGAGCAAGAGAGACAUGGCCCAGCAGGAGGCUACAGAGGGACGCACAAGGACUGGCAAUGUGUCCGUCCGGCACAGCACCCUGGAGGUCCCCCUUGCAGCACUGCCCACAUGGCUGUGGUCCCCAUCACCUACAGAGCUGCUGCAAGAAGAAACCAAGCCUUAUCCAUGUUGUCUCUCCAGAGCCAUGAAUACAUCUCUGUACAUGGAGUACCUCAAAGUCUACUGGCUUGAAUGCAAACAGUAGCAUUGAAGCUGUGCCUUAAGGAACCGGUAGAACUUCUGAGAACAAACAAGGAAGAAAAGGACCAGAAACAAGAAGAGUUGAGAGCAAACACAGUCCAUUUUGCUGAUACAUGGGUCCUUGGAAGGAAAGGGACAUUUCAGAUUCAUUGUGAUCCUAUUACAGCCUUAGAGACUUAGCCUACAAUCAGUAGGAAAUAGCUGUGACUCACUGUUAAAACUAUGCAAGGACUUGAAAAAAAUUAAGGGCCGCUUGGGUGGUUCAGUUGGUUAAGUGUCUGCCUUCAGCUCAGGUCAUGUGCCUGGAGUCCUGCGAUCAAGUCCUAAUCAGGCUCCCCGGUCAGCUGGGAGCAUGCUUCUCCCUCUCCCUCUGCCAUCCCUGCCCCACUGUGUUCUCUGGCUCUCUCUAUCUCUCUG
Molecule: long non-coding RNA, 1444 nt
Filed under: Canis lupus dingo (dingo)
Lineage: Eukaryota; Metazoa; Chordata; Mammalia; Carnivora; Canidae
Description: lncRNA (ENSCAFG00020020404.1)
Source: RNAcentral